AUCUGGAUAGCUUAAGAAGAGCAGUACAUUGAAGAUGUAAAGGUGGACACUCUCCAAAUA
Molecule: transfer RNA, 60 nt
Filed under: Gammarus nipponensis
Lineage: Eukaryota; Metazoa; Arthropoda; Malacostraca; Amphipoda; Gammaridae
Description: tRNA-Phe
Source: RNAcentral